UCCCCAGUAGCUCAGUUGGUUAGAGCGCACGACUGUUAAUCGUGAUGUCGUAGGUUCGAGUCCUACCUGGGGAG
This 74-nucleotide transfer RNA is filed under the name Gemmatimonadaceae bacterium. Its description in RNAcentral is "tRNA-Asn". It matches the Rfam family "tRNA". From Rfam's summary of the family: Transfer RNA (tRNA) molecules are approximately 80 nucleotides in length. Lineage: Bacteria; Pseudomonadati; Gemmatimonadota; Gemmatimonadia; Gemmatimonadales; Gemmatimonadaceae. The record is from RNAcentral.